RNAcentral lists this ribosomal RNA (253 nucleotides) under uncultured bacterium. Its description in RNAcentral is "partial 16S ribosomal RNA". It matches the Rfam family "Bacterial small subunit ribosomal RNA", at positions 524 to 776 of the family's 1533-position model. The record is from RNAcentral.
GACAGAGGGUGCAAACGUUGUUCGGAUUUACUGGGCGUAAAGCGUGUGUAGGCGGCUUCGUAAGUUGGAUGUGAAAUCCCACGGCUCAACCGUGGACGUGCAUCCAAAACUACGUCGCUGGAGUCUCGGAGAGGAAGGUGGAAUGCUUGGUGUAGAGGUGAAAUUCGUAGAUAUCAAGUAGAACACCUGCGGCGAAGGCGGCCUUCUGGACGAUGACUGACGCUGAGACACGAAAGCGUGGGGAGCAAACAGG